Mustela putorius furo (domestic ferret) is the source of this 3349-nucleotide long non-coding RNA. NCBI's taxonomy places the organism in Eukaryota, Metazoa, Chordata, Mammalia, Carnivora, Mustelidae. The record is from Ensembl.
CCCCAAAGGCUCGGCUGCCUCCACUGACAACUUGGGCACAUUCAUGGGCUCUCUGUACUCUUCCCAUGUUCCUGCAGAUGAGUGCAGAUGACGCUAAGCCCACACGCGCUGUCCUCUCUCAGAGGCUAGUGGGAGGAACUCUGGGCAGUGCGGAGACAAAGGCUGAGAACACCUUGAAGAGAGAGCACAUGAGCACAAGCAGGGGAGCAACAAAGGCAGAGGGAGAAGCAGGCUCCCCGCUAAGCAGCCAGCCUCGAAUUCGGGACUCGAUCUCAAGCCACCCAGGUGUCCCAAGUUUGAUUUCUUUUCAUAACAAGAUCCAGCGAGGGCUCGCAUAGCUCAGAAAAGGCUGCAACACGGAUGGAGGUCAAGCCUGUGAGGAACGGCGGACCCUUAACAGAGUUGACUUGCAACCCGUCUGGUUGGAAGCUGAUCACAGCAAUCAAAUUGUCACUGCAAAUAAAGGCGUGAGUCUUAGCCUUUCUCCUUCUGGCCUUUCCAGCUAAGAUUCCAAGUCGGAAAAUCUCUUUUGUGACAACUGAUUUAGGAAAGAGCAAAAGCGUGUAAAAGGGACACCGUGAACUUUUAUAAAAUGUAUAUACUUCUUUUGAAUGUGUGUUAGAUGGUGCUCUGUGUGUUACAUGGUGUUACAGGGUUACAUGCUGGAUGGUUUUUUGGUUUUUUUGUGUGUGUUUCUUUUCUUUUAAAGAUUUUAUUUGUUUGUUAGAGAGAGAGAGGGAGAGAGAGCGAGCACAGGCAGGCAGAGAGGCAGGCAGAGGCAGAGGGAGAAGCAGGCUCCCUGCCGAGCAAGGAGCCGACAUGGGACUUGAUCCCAGGAUCAUGACCCGAGCCAAAGGCAGCUGCUCAACCAUUUUACCUAAAAAAUGAUCAUUCAUUUUUGUUUUGUUUUGUCUUGAUUUGGGUGUUUGGUUUGUUUUUUUUUUUAAAUUCAAUUAACCAGGCCACCUGGGUGGUUGAGUUGGUUAAGCAUCUGCCUUCUGCUCAGGUCAUGAUCCCCCUGUCCUGGGUUAGAGCCCUGCAUCAGGCUCCUUGGUCAGCGGGGCGUCUGCGUCUCCCUCUGCCUGCCACUCCCCUGCUUGUGCUCUCUCCAUUCUUCUCUGACCAAAAAACAAACAAACAGACCAAAAAAAAAAAAAAAACCUUGAAAAAAAAUUUUUUCUAAAUUCAAUUAGCCAACAUAUAGUACAUCAUUAGCUUUUGUUGCAAUGUUCAAUGAUUCUUAGUUGUGAGUAACAGCCAGUGCUCAUCACAUCACAUGCCCUUCUUAAUGCCCAUCGCCCCACCCACCUUCCUUUCCACAACCCUCAGUUUGUUUCUCAGAGUCAAGGGUCUCAUAUAGUUCGUCUCCCUCUCUAAUAUUUCUUGCAUUUCAGUUUUCCCUCCCUUAUGUUCCACAUAUGAGUGAAACCAUCUGAUAAUUCCCUUUCUCUAAUUGACUUGCACAAAAAUGAUCAUUCUUGAACUGAGGGAUAUUCUACAGGGUCUGUGCUCUUCAUAAUGCCCAUGAAACCCUGACAGACUGUUCCAGGUCAAAAGAAGGUAGGGAGACUUGACAUCAGAAUGCCAAUGAUGUGUAUUCCGAGUUUUUCUUUUGCUAGAAAAGACGGUCAGGGAACAAUUGGUGACAUAUGAGUAGGGUCUGGGUAUUAAACAGUAGUACUGCACCAAUCUUAGCUUCCUGACUAUGAUAAUCAUAGAUGAUUCUAUAAGAUAAUAUCCUUAUUUUGGAAUAUUUGGAUAAUUAUUUGGAUUAAUACUUAUCUUUGAAGUAUUUAGAGUUAAAGAUAGCAGCAUGUCUGUAAUUUACUCUCAUACAAUUCAGUAAAAAAGUAGAUACAGAAAGAGAGAGAAAAGUGAAGCUAAUGUAAUCAAAUGUUAAUAUUUGAGGGCUCUAUCAGGAAAGCCUUUGUUCCGUAAGUCGAAAAUUAAGCCAAAUAAAAAGUUUUUAAUAAUAAAAAAUAGCUUUUAAAACCUUAAAAAAUGUGUAAGAUGGUAUUGUUAACAUUACAUAAAUAUUGCAAGGCACCACUGUAAAUACUUAGAAUAGUUUUAAUUAUUAAUAAUACGUUUUGCUUUUCAUGAUACACACUAAAGUUCUAAGGGCAGAAAACAAAUUAGCAUAUAUAAUAAUUAAUGAUCUAACUGGGUGUGGUGCAUAAACAAUGAAUUUUGAAACACUGAAAAGAAAUAAAAUAAAAUGGAAAAAAUGAAAAAAAUAAUGAUCUAACUGGUCUUAUGCUAUGAACAUCAGCAAUUGGUUCAGUCAUCAGUAGCAGGAAUUGUCCCCCAAGAGAACUGAUGUACACAUCUGGACCUCACAUGGAUGAUAAAAACACAUGACAUAGAGGAGAAUUUAAAGGAAUAUCAUUUUAUCACUGUACAUUUGAAUAUCACUCUUUCUCCUCUACAUGUUUUUGCCUAUAUUAUUUCAUUUUAUACCUUGCCUUCAUGUACUAUCUUAGACUUGCAGUUUUUAAGUACACGUUUCACAGCUAGAUGAGAUUGUGUGUGUGUGUGUGUGUGUGUGUGUAUAAAAGGCUGGUUAAAAAUAACUACAGAUGAGAUUUAAAUUAUAUACAUAUACUCGAAGCUGGUUAAAAAUAACUACAAUCUGAGAAAGACCUCUUACUGACUGCAGCUAGCAAUAGGCAAAUUGUGUUAUUCUAAAAGCGCCCAGAAAUAUACCUUAGUCUUCAUCCAUCACAAUCCUCAGAUCUGACACCUGUCUUGGGCAAUCUGUCUGUGAUAAAUCAAAAUAUCUUUUAGCCAUGACAAGAACAAUGCCAUCAGCCCAAGUGGAAUCUUGUAUUUGUAAGUAUGUUAGUCCUAACCUAUUACGAUGAAGCUAAUUAGAAUUUUGUAUCACAAGACUCUCUCCACGUAAAUGACACCCUGAGAUGAAGACAUUGGGCAUUUAAACAUUGUCUUCCUUGCAUUUACUAGCACCAUUCCUUGGUGACCAGAUUCUAAGAAACAGAUGGAAAAAAAAAAAGAGGUUUUUUUUAGGUUGAUGGAAAAGGGAAAAAAAAAUAACAAUGGAUUUUAACUUUCAGUAUCUGGAAGGGCAAGUGGGUCAAAUGUAAGGAUUUCUGAGACAAAUUUGUCAAUUAUUACAUGUUCAAUUCUACUGUACUUUAUCUUUAAAAUCUGAGGAAAAUAAAUGCAGUAAUUUUUAACGAUGGAUGUAAUUCAGACUCUGUGUGAUGUCACUUGUCUGCCUAAUACCUCCCUUUGCCCUCAAGUUCAUUCCCUCUGCCCCCUGCUGUGGCCACAACCCCUUCAAAGACUUCUGCACUGGUGACUUCCUUUUCCAGGGAGGGUUCAUUCC